UACAGAGGGUGCAAGCGUUAAUCGGAGUUACUGGGCGUAAAGGGCGCGUAGGCGGUCAAAUAAGUUAGUUGUGAAAUCCCUGGGCUUAACCUAGGAACUGCAACUAAGACUGUGUGACUAGAGUACUGUAGAGGGUAGUGGAAUUUCCGGUGUAGCGGUGAAAUGCGUAGAGAUCGGAAGGAACACCAGUGGCGAAGGCGGCUACCUGGACAGAUACUGACGCUGAGGCGCGAAAGCGUGGGGAGCAAACAGG
Molecule: ribosomal RNA, 253 nt
Filed under: uncultured bacterium
Lineage: Bacteria
Description: partial 16S ribosomal RNA
Rfam family: Bacterial small subunit ribosomal RNA
Source: RNAcentral